UUUACACAUUUUCAUGAUAAAAAUUAUACGUUUCAACAAUAUGAUAGAUUUUUGGUGAAUGUUCUAAUAUCAUUGUUUGUUUGCAAUGAUAUAAUAUCAAUGAGUGUGCAUUUAGUUUGGUAUUAAGUUUGAUCCCAUUCUAGGACAAGUUCGGGCAUUAUGACCAUUCUAAUAGCAAAAACCACCACUACACAUGGACGAAUCCAAGGAAACGCAUAGUAUGGCCUUAUUUCAAUUUCCUUCCUUUAUGGUGCCAUUUUAGUAAAAUAAACAAUA
Molecule: long non-coding RNA, 276 nt
Filed under: Hordeum vulgare
Lineage: Eukaryota; Viridiplantae; Streptophyta; Magnoliopsida; Poales; Poaceae
Description: long non-coding RNA (HVUL_LNC006072)
Source: RNAcentral